GGGAUGGACAUAGCCUGGGUCAUCCUGGCUCGGAUGGAGUGCUGCUCCUGCCAUCGAUGGAACCGCUUUCUUACAGCUGAACGCACCUGAUAAAUCGUACCUGGAAGGAUUCCAAAAAUGAGUUGAAAUAUAUGAAGACAAUUUGAGAGAUCUCAUCUUCCCCCGGGUUCACAAAGAACAGCAUAUAGGUGAUUCCCAGGAGAGGAAGAAGUACCAGUGUAGCCUUCACCGCUUUCCUGUAGACGAGGAGAGCAGUGAGCAGGAAAGCAUGUCAGACAGCCACAGCAGACUUUUAGAUGGAGGCAGGUAUACAACAGAAUACAGCAGGUUACAGCACACGUACCUGUAUUGGAUUGUCUCCGAUGUGGUAGAGGCUCGCAGUUUGGUCAUGAGGAUUCUCACAAUGUUGAAGAGGAAAAUAAAAUUGAUCUGUGGGGGUAAACAAACAAACAAAGCACAGUGAGACUCUUUAUUAAGGCGCUACAGUGGUCUUCAUUGAGUGGUGCGGCCUGAACCACCUGAAGCUAAAUGUCAGCAAGACGAAGGAGCAGGUCGUGGAGCCAACUCUGACCCCUGCGUCCAUCCAUGGGGAAGAUGUUGAGAUAGUCCCCUCCUACAAAUACCUUGGAGUGCACCUUGAUGACGGGCUGGGGCGGACUAAGAAUACAGAGGCUCUUUACUUCCUGCAGAGGCUAUGAUCCUUUAACGUUUGCAACAAGAUACUGCAAAUGUUCUAUCAGUUAGUUGUAUCCAGAGCCAUUUUCGACACAGUGGUGUGCUGGGGGGCGGAUUUGAACAAGCUUGUUAGGAAAGCCACCGCUGUCAUAAGAGGUGUGAUUGAGCUAGACUUCCUGGGGGGCGACAGCAGAGAUAAGGAUGCUAACCAAGCUAGUGAGCAAAGUAAACAACACCUCCCUUUCCCUCCAUGAUGGGCUUGUUAAACAGAAGAACACCUUCAGCUUUCCCCUUUGUCACAAUAACUGAUAACUGGCUAAGAACUGUACUAUAUGAUUAUU
Molecule: long non-coding RNA, 1016 nt
Organism: Thunnus maccoyii (southern bluefin tuna)
Lineage: Eukaryota; Metazoa; Chordata; Actinopteri; Scombriformes; Scombridae
Exons: 3
Source: RefSeq, a predicted model, not a curated record